This 199-nucleotide microRNA precursor is filed under the name Medicago truncatula (barrel medic). RNAcentral's name for it is "MIR2670 microRNA precursor family". It matches the Rfam family "MIR2670 microRNA precursor family". The record is from Rfam by way of RNAcentral. Lineage: Eukaryota; Viridiplantae; Streptophyta; Magnoliopsida; Fabales; Fabaceae.
UUUGAGGUAAAAAGUGAGUAGCCGAUUUGAGGAAGUGAUCAACCCUUUGGAUAAAAUUAAAUUUGCUUCUUUUUACCCCAAAAACAUUUUACCAUGGGUAAAAAGAAUCUUCUUGGGAUAUAAAAAGAAUCAGAUUUAGAUUUAGCCCAAAGGUUGAUGAUGUAUUUUCCCAAAGAAGGCUGCUCACUAUUUACCCAAG